GGGCAUCUUUCACUCCAGAGCAAUAGCAUGGUCUACACAGAAGUCCUCAACCUCCCCAUAUUGGUCAGUCUGUGGCCUGUCAGGAACCAGGCCACCUAGCAGGAGGUGAGUGGUGGGUGAGAGAGGGAAGCUUCAUCUGUAUUUAUAGCCACUUCCCAUCACUCAUGUUACUGCCUGAGCUCUGCCUCCUGUCAGAUGGGCAGAGGCAUUAGGUUCUCACAGGAGCACAAACUCUAUUGUGAACUGCACACAUGAAGGAGCUGGAUUGUGUGCUCUUUAUGAGAAUCUAAUGACUGAUGAUCUGUCACUGUCUCCCAUCCUCUUCAAAUGGCACUGUCUACUUGAAAAACAAGCUCAGGGCUCCCACUGAUUCUACAUUAUGGGACAUGGAUGAAUCUGGAGAACAUCAUCCUCAGCAAACUGACACAAGAACAGAAAAUGAAACACCGCAUAUUCUCACUUAUAGGCGGGUGAUGAAAAAUGAGAACACAUGGACACAGAAAGGGGAGUACUAAACACUGGGGUCUAUUGGGGGGAAAAGGGGAGGGCCAGUGGGAAGGGGAGGUGGGGAGGGAUAGCCUGGGGAGAAAUGCCAAAUGCGGGUGAAGGGGAGAAGGAAAGCAAAGCACACUGCCAUGUGUGUACCUACGCAACUGUCUUGCAUGCUCUGCUCAUGUACCCCAAAACCUAAAAUCCAAUAAAAAAUUAAAAAAAAAAAAAAAAAGAGAUCACUCACACACUUGAGAACUCAUCAAUUGCUCAGAUCAGAGAUAAAGCCCUGAGUAAGCCCAUAGUAAAUGCUAAGAUUUACUCCAUGAAACCUGUAGACUUACAGGUCAGCUACAUAACAUGCAGUGAAGUUUGAUGGCCACUGUUCUCCUUCCACCCUGGGUUACACUAUUUAUUUUCAUGUCAGAUAAUCAGAUCCUAGCUGAUCUUUCCCAUUGUUCUGCCUCAGACUGCACCACACUCCAAUGCGUUCUUCACAACUGCCAAUCAGAUCGCGUUGGGCAGUGAUCAGAAUCCUUCACCAGGACUGCCUGGAGAUAAACGGUCCAGUUAGAGUC
This 1067-nucleotide long non-coding RNA is filed under the name Callithrix jacchus (white-tufted-ear marmoset). RNAcentral describes it as "lncRNA (ENSCJAG00000079296.1)". Lineage: Eukaryota; Metazoa; Chordata; Mammalia; Primates; Cebidae. The record is from RNAcentral.